GAUGAACGCUGGCGGCGUGCCUAAUACAUGCAAGUCGAGCGAACGGACGAGAAGCUUGCUUCUCUCACGUUAGCGGCGGACGGGUGAGUCACAUGUGGAUCACCUACCUAUCAGACUGGGAUAACUUCGGGAAACCGUAGCUAAUACCAGAUAAUCUUUUGAACCGCAUGGUUCAUAAGUGAAAGACGGUCUUGCUGUCACUUAUAGAUGGAUCCGCGCUGCAUUAGCUAGUUGGUAAGGUAACGGCUUAUCAAGGCAACGCUGCGUAGCCGACGUGAGAGAGUGGUAGGCCACACUGGAGCUGGGACGCGGUCCAGACUCCUACGGGAGGCAGCAGUAGGGAAUCUGACGCAAUGGGCGAAAGCCUGACGGAGCGGGGCCGCGUGAGUGAUGAAGGUCUUCGGAUCGUAAAAAUCUGUUAUGAGUGAAGAACAUAUGUGUAAGUAAAUGUGCAGAGAGUGACGGUAACGAAUCAGAAAGCCACGGCUAACUACGUG
This 497-nucleotide ribosomal RNA is filed under the name uncultured bacterium. RNAcentral describes it as "partial 16S ribosomal RNA". It matches the Rfam family "Bacterial small subunit ribosomal RNA", at positions 28 to 507 of the family's 1533-position model. The record is from RNAcentral.